GGGGUCGACUGGUUUUGACAGCAAGUGGAAUUGAAAAGUAAGCAUGUCGAGCAUUGUAUUAUUGGCUCGUUAAUAUCAAUGAUACAACUUUAUAAACGGCGAAAAUAAUUACGCUUUAGCUGCUUAAUCCGAAGUUUAGUACGAUUUGCCUAGUCUCGACAAGGUCGAGAAGCUAGAUUUACCUCAAAAGCCUUGGUUUAUGGCGUUUGAUAAAGGUAAACCGUAAAAAUAGACAUAGGAAUGGUAAAGCUUUAAAUCCAUUCUGACAUUAAUAAAGCUAAGCGUUGAGUUGCUGUUUUUGGCUGAGCUCAAUGUCGAAAAAUUAAUCAAAAACUAAACAUGUAGAAAGCUCUUUGAUUGCUUGUUUGGACCCGAGUUCGAAUCUCGGCGACUCCAC
This 397-nucleotide transfer-messenger RNA is filed under the name Flavobacterium lutivivi. It matches the Rfam family "transfer-messenger RNA". Rfam says of the family: Bacterial tmRNA, also known as 10Sa RNA or SsrA, is named for its dual tRNA and mRNA-like properties. The record is from RNAcentral. Lineage: Bacteria; Pseudomonadati; Bacteroidota; Flavobacteriia; Flavobacteriales; Flavobacteriaceae.